UUGCAAAAAUUCAUUUUAUUCAUUAACUAGAUUAACUGAUCUUGGCCCAGUCGUGCAUGUGCCGAGCAGGAAGAUGUUCGAGCGAAGCUUAAUGAUUCCGCUGGCCUGCAUGGCCGCAAGGGAACCCGUCUCGAAGUCGUUGUCGUAGAUGGUCGGGUUGGUCGGCUUACAUCGUCGAACCCCAGUGGAUGUCCGCCUUGGUUGUUAUUUCCGAUGCUGGUUCUAAACCAAUCCUUUUAUUUGGAUACAGCUUGUUGCUUGGAGCACCUUCGACGCGGACACUAAACUGGCCAGGGCCGACGAGAGAGUUGUAAUACCCCGUUCGCACGGGCGAGUUAUAGCCGGUUUUAACGAAAUGGUUUUAAGUUAUAACCAAGUUAAAACCAACCCGUUCGCACGGGAACGUGAGGUUAUAACGGUUUUAACCAUUUUGACAGAUCAUAGCAAUCUGUGAUUAUUUAAGUGUUGUCAUUUAUUUUCAUUUUUACGGUCGAUACAGAUCUUGAUUUUGUUGGGCUGUCUUUUCGGUAAGGGCCGGGUUUUUUUGGGCAGUUUUCGCUUCCGUAUUUGGGCAGGAUGGCAGAAUUCAUUUUUGAGUGUCGGCCGGUUGAAGGUGGUCUGCUGAUUUCAAGUUGGUCACCGCUGAAACCAACUGGAAUAUCACUUGAAGCUGGACGAUCUGGUGGAUUAGUGGUCUCUCAAAGCGUUCCGCUAGUUUAUGGAAAGCAUCGCCUACCUACCGGAACUUUCAAAUCGUGACGGAACUGAGGCGAUCUUUUCCAAACAGCAAUCAGCAAAAUGGAAGGCUUCUCUUUGCUAGACAGGUUCCUGCCAUUGGUUUUUUGGAGGAACUCUUUUCUGGCAUCUAUAAAGCUGCUUCCGGAAAACUACCUCUUCGGUGUUCUCCAAGGUCGCGCCUAGAUGCUUGAAGUUUCUAGGUGGCCCGUGGGCUGCUAACCCACGAAGGAGGAGAAUCUUUGUUCCUGGGUAUCGCGGAGUCUUGGACGGGUCCUAAUUACAUGCUUGACCUCAAGAUAGACGACUUUCUGAAUGAUCACCUGUAGAUCCAGGUGUUCAAGCUGGAGCAGGAAAAGUUCACACCCGCGUGUUGAUCAGUAUGCGACACAUCUGUGUCUGGAAGUAGAUCAAGUAGAUCGUUCAACUCGCUUUCGGCAAUGGCCGACCGAGUCGCGUCAAGAGAUCAGCACUAACGUAAAAGGGCGUCGAUUAAGUCGAUUAAACAUUUCCUUUCCUUACUCCCCCCCGUCCCUAACCCUCCCUCUCCCCUCCCACUUGAGUUUUAAUUCUGAUACACAUCCGAUAGUAUCGAUACAGUUAUUUCUUCCCGAACAUCUUGGAAAUUAGCCACUCGCUUGGGCCAACAUUGCUCCCGGCCUUGAUGCGCCCAUGUUCUCUCUAUUGCAGUGUUGACUUUGGUCUUGGAGGACGAAACGCACCUUUCCAAGGGAAAACUCCCUUCGGGCGAUAAGUAUGUACUUGCUAUGCGUCCACUUUCCCGGAUCGACGAUUGUCAUAGGCACUAACGUGAAGAUUCUCCUGGCCCGUCGUUGCGAACGGUGGACAGCACACGUUCUUCAGCGUUUGAUUGAGGGUGGUACGGAGUAGUGUGAAGAUAAACGGUCGUGAUACAGGUGACUUUGGCGAAGUAUUGAUGAUGGUCAUCAUCGAUGAUCGUUGUCUCUCUUUGGCAGGGGUUACGACGACUCUCGACACCGUCACAGUUAAUUUGGCCAAUCAUGUGCCCAUUAGAUUUUGGAUACCAUAGCAGACAGGCACUCGUUUGGGCCUGUGAUGCCAAGGGUGGUCAGAAUCCCGACAAGAUUACGGUAGAUAUCUCUGAUCGUUGAUUACCCUGAGGGAUUCCGCCCAUAUUUUCUUUCAAUUAUAUUUAUCAAUAUUAGUUACCGGAGCACGCGAUCAUCCGGAGUGUCGGACAGCAACUGGUCACUGACCUCGUGGUGUAUGCGAGAACGUCGACAAGCCCGUAGGAAACAACAGCCACGAUUUUCGAGCUAAAGACGCCUGCAGGGGAAAUUCAGCUUUGGCUGGUCGCCUGCCCGACAAAAGUAAACCCCGUAGGAGCGCGCCAAAACCCCGAGCAAAAGGAAACCACCGGCGGCUGUGAAAUCUUGGGGAACCGCUGCUUGCAAGCAGCGAUCGCGAUCGACACGAUUACGGUACGAUUCAUCUGACAUCAUCCAUCUAUCUCAAGCUCGACUUACUCGUGUACGCCAUUUUAUCGUGUGACCAGAACUCCGCUGUGCCAUCAAUAUCCUGCUGGAACCUAUCAGGUGUUUUACCUUGCGACAAUCUACCUUGUGGCUCACGCCAGCACGACUACGUGAGGGACGAACAACAACCACGAUCGACAAUCAGCAAGGGCCUUUGAAAAACUCUCAGACACUCCGUUUUCCUUCAACAUCGACACGCGGGACAAGCCGCGAUCGCCAUCCACGCCCAUGUGGCGGUCGAUGACCGCUCUUCACUUGUGACGGCCGUCGCGAAGCGUUCGGACGCACUAGGCCACGUUUUUCACCUGCGGGACCAACCGGGCUCGUCACCAACAUCUAGGCGGUGAUCGACAUCAUCCGCUCGUCACCGAGACCGUCGAGAAGCGCAGAGCUGCUCCUGGCAACGUGAUCAUCUUUUCAUCCUACACGUAGUCAUCUGAAGAACAAGAUGGCGUACACAUCCGCGUUUCUGUAGGAGCAUCGAGCGGCUAUAGCGUAUACGUGAACAACAACAGCACGAGCGGUAGCGAGAUGAAUGACAAGCUACACAAAUCGGGUUAAAUCAGCUGGAUUAAGCUCCCAAAAUCGUAUCUGUUGUUUUUUGCCAGAGC
This is a long non-coding RNA of Culex pipiens pallens (northern house mosquito), 2863 nucleotides long. RefSeq lists it as uncharacterized. NCBI's taxonomy places the organism in Eukaryota, Metazoa, Arthropoda, Insecta, Diptera, Culicidae. The transcript is spliced from 3 exons. The record is from RefSeq and is a predicted model, not a curated record.